UACGGGGGGGGCAAGCGUUGUUCGGAAUUACUGGGCGUAAAGGGCUCGUAGGCGGCCAACUAAGUCAGACGUGAAAUCCCUCGGCUUAACCGGGGAACUGCGUCUGAUACUGGAUGGCUUGAGAUUGGGAGAGGGAUGCGGAAUUCCCGGUGUAGCGGUGAAAUGCGCAGAUAUCGGGAGGAACACCUAUGGCGAAGGCAGCUCGCUGGGACGUUACUGACGCUGGAGACGCGAAAGCGUGGGGAGCAAACAGG
RNAcentral lists this ribosomal RNA (254 nucleotides) under uncultured bacterium. RNAcentral's name for it is "partial 16S ribosomal RNA". It matches the Rfam family "Bacterial small subunit ribosomal RNA", at positions 524 to 776 of the family's 1533-position model. The record is from RNAcentral.